UUGACCUCGGAUCAGGUAGGGAUACCCGCUGAACUUAAGCAUAUCAAUAAGCGGAGGAAAAGAAACCAACCGGGAUUACCCUAGUAACGGCGAGUGAAGCGGUAAGAGCUCAAAUUUGAAAGCUGGCCCCUUCGGGGUCCGCAUUGUAAUUUGCAGAGGAUGCUUCGGGAGCGGUCCCCAUCUAAGUGCCCUGGAACGGGCCGUCAUA
RNAcentral lists this ribosomal RNA (208 nucleotides) under Penicillium manginii. Its description in RNAcentral is "partial 28S ribosomal RNA". It matches the Rfam family "Eukaryotic large subunit ribosomal RNA", at positions 1 to 207 of the family's 3401-position model. The record is from RNAcentral. Lineage: Eukaryota; Fungi; Ascomycota; Eurotiomycetes; Eurotiales; Aspergillaceae.